CGAGGGGCGACCGGUGGGCGCGUGGGGCGAGAAGGAGGCUGAGGGGCUGGCGGGUGAGGUAACCGAGGGUGGGCGCUGGCGCGGCCGUGAGGUAGCGCGGUGUGGUCUUCUCCACAGGCGUGCCUGCCCCCGAGCGGAGACGUCGCGGCAGAGGGGAGGAACGGAAUGAAACGAGAAGCAGGAGCGCAGAAGGUCAAGUAUGGAGCUGCAGUGUGACUAGGGAAGAGCUACAUGUGACAGCAGCUGCCAUUUUUUGAGGACAUGUUCCAUCCUGCCAGAUGUCUUUUUCACACAGCAGUAUAUUUUCCUCAUCACCACGACAACGCACUUCACUCCAGUAAACAGGAAUAAGGCCCAGUCCAGAAAAUGAAUUCCCAGUGACAACAGUGGAAGAAUUCAUUCAUGUACACAGAGCAAAAGAUAUCACAAGUGAUAUCUUCUGCACAUCAGCAACUCUCUUCCCAACAAUUGAAAUAUGGACAGCUGUGCAUAGAAGCACCCAUGUUUUGUGAAGGGCAGUAGCUUUCAUUAAGUGACCUGUGUUCAUCUCAUAAGAAAAUACAAUG
Long non-coding RNA from Dryobates pubescens (Downy woodpecker), 566 nucleotides. RefSeq lists it as uncharacterized. The record is from RefSeq and is a predicted model, not a curated record. The transcript has 5 exons. NCBI's taxonomy places the organism in Eukaryota, Metazoa, Chordata, Aves, Piciformes, Picidae.